RNAcentral lists this long non-coding RNA (746 nucleotides) under Brassica napus (rape). RNAcentral's name for it is "long non-coding RNA (BNAP_LNC021016)". Lineage: Eukaryota; Viridiplantae; Streptophyta; Magnoliopsida; Brassicales; Brassicaceae. The record is from RNAcentral.
GGUUUAGGGUUAUAUAGGGUUUAGGGUUAGAUAGGGUUUAGGGUUAGGUAGGGUUUAGGGUUGAAUAGGGUUUAGGGUUAGGUAGGGUUUAGGGUUGAAUAGGGUUUAGGGUUAGAUAGGGUUUAGGGUUGGGUAGGGUUUAGGGUUGGAUAGGGUUUAGGGUUAGGUAGGGUUAAGGGUUAGGUAGGGUUAAGGGUUGGGUAGGGUUUAGGGUUGGAUAGGGUUUAGGGUUGGAUAGGGUUUAGGGUUAGGUAGGGUUUAGGGUUAGGAUAGGGUUUAGGGUUAGGUAGGGUUUAGGGUUAGUAGGGUUUAGGGUUAGGUAGGGUUUAAAUAGGGUUUAGAGUUUAAAUAGGGUUUUGGGUUAGAUAGGGUUUAGGGUUUAAAUGGGGUUUAGGGUUAGUUAGGUUUAGGGUUAGGUAGGGUUUUUAGGGUUAAUCCUCAUAAUCUGUAAUACCCCUAAUCUCUAAUAUUCAUAAUUCCAUAUACCCCUAAUCUAUAAUACGCUUAAUCUAUAAUGCCCCUAAUUUCAUAUGUCCAUAAUAUAUAAUUCCUCUUAAUCUAUGGACUACUUAUAUUCUUAAUACUCCUAAUCUAAUAUACCCCUAAUAAAACGUUUUGGGGUUUAUCGGUAAUACUGUUGCUUUACUUUUUUAUCUGAAAAAUUAUUGCUGUAAAAUGUUUUGCUCUGGUUAUAAAUUUUAUUUCUGUAGUUUUUUUUCUUUAAAAAUGCGAUAGGUAUAAGUUAG